RNAcentral lists this ribosomal RNA (1629 nucleotides) under Schizomida sp. NGS49. Its description in RNAcentral is "SSU rRNA". It matches the Rfam family "Eukaryotic small subunit ribosomal RNA". The record is from RNAcentral. Lineage: Eukaryota; Metazoa; Arthropoda; Arachnida; Schizomida.
UCAUAUGCUUGUCUCAAAGAUUAAGCCAUGCAUGUCUAAGUACGUGCCUAAGAAAGGUGAAACCGCGAAUGGCUCAUUAAAUCAGUUAUGGUUCCUUAGAUCGUACCUUACUACUUGGAUAACUGUGGUAAUUCUAGAGCUAAUACAUGCAGCAGAGCUCCGACCUUCGGGGACGAGCGCUUUUAUUAGACCAAGACCAAUCGGACCUCGGUCCGAAGCUCAUGGUGACUCUGGAUAACUUUGGGCUGAUCGCACGGUCUCGUACCGGCGACGCAUCUUUCAAGUGUCUGCCUUAUCAACUUUCGAUGGUAGGUUAUGCGCCUACCAUGGUCGUAACGGGUAACGGGGAAUCAGGGUUCGAUUCCGGAGAGGGAGCCUGAGAAACGGCUACCACAUCCAAGGAAGGCAGCAGGCGCGCAAAUUACCCACUCCCGGCACGGGGAGGUAGUGACGAAAAAUAACAAUACGGGACUCUAUUGAGGCCCCGUAAUUGGAAUGAGUACACUCAGCUCGUAGUUGGAUCUCAGUUCCAGACGGGGUGGUCCACCCCUGGUGGUUACUGCCUGGCCUGAACAAAUCCAGCCGGUUUUCCUUGAUGCUCUUCACCGAGUGUCUUGGGUGACCGGCACGUUUACUUUGAAAAAAUUAGAGUGCUCAAAGCAGGCGUGACGCCUGAAUAAUGGUGCAUGGAAUAAUGGAAUAGGACCUCGGUUCUAUUUUGUUGGUUUUCGGAACACGAGGUAAUGAUUAAGAGGGACAGACGGGGGCAUUCGUAUUGGGACGCUAGAGGUGAAAUUCUUGGACCGUCGCAAGACGAACUACUGCGAAAGCAUUUGCCAAGAAUGUUUUCAUUAAUCAAGAACGAAAGUUAGAGGUUCGAAGGCGAUCAGAUACCGCCCUAGUUCUAACCAUAAACGAUGCCAACCAGCGAUCCGCCUGAGUUCUUCUAUUGACUCGGCGGGCAGCUUCCGGGAAACCAAAGUGUUUGGGUUCCGGGGGAAGUAUGGUUGCAAAGCUGAAACUUAAAGGAAUUGACGGAAGGGCACCACCAGGAGUGGAGCCUGCGGCUUAAUUUGACUCAACACGGGAAAACUUACCUGGCCCGGACACUGGAAGGAUUGACAGAUUAAGAGCUCUUUCUUGAUUCAGUGGGUGGUGGUGCAUGGCCGUUCUUAGUUGGUGGGAGCGAUUUGUCUGGUUAAUUCGGAUAACGAAGGGGACUCUAGCCUACUAAAUAGGGGACCGAUCAAUUGUUGUCGGUCCGUCUUCUUAGAGGAACAAGCGGCUUUUAGCCGCACGAGACAGAGCAAUAACAGGUCUGUGAUGCCCUUAGAUGUCCGGGGCCGCACGCGCGCUACACGGAAGGAAGCAGCGUGCUCAUCGCUGUCCGGCAGGACUGCGUAACCCCUAUAACCUCCUUCGUGAUAGGGAUAGGGGCUUGUAAUUGUUCCCCUUGAACGAGGAAUUCCCAGUAAGCGCGAGUCAUAAGCUCGUGUGGAUUACGUCCCUGCCCUUUGUACACACCGCCCGUCGCUACUACCGAUUGAAUGAUUUAGUGAGGUCUUCGGACUGGCGCUCGGAGCGACCUUCGGGUUGCGCCGGCGUGCCGGAAAGAUGACCAAACUUGAU